GACGAACGCUGGCGGCGUGCCUAAUACAUGCAAGUAGAACGCUGAAGAGAGGAGCUUGCUCUUCUUGGAUGAGUUGCGAACGGGUGAGUAACGCGUAGGUAACCUGCCUGGUAGCGGGGGAUAACUAUUGGAAACGAUAGCUAAUACCGCAUAAAAUGGAUUAUCGCAUGAUAAUCCAUUGAAAGGUGCAAAUGCAUCACUACCAGAUGGACCUGCGUUGUAUUAGCUAGUUGGUGGGGUAACGGCUCACCAAGGCGACGAUACAUAGCCGACCUGAGAGGGUGAUCGGCCACACUGGGACUGAGACACGGCCCAGACUCCUACGGGAGGCAGCAGUAGGGAAUCUUCGGCAAUGGACGGAAGUCUGACCGAGCAACGCCGCGUGAGUGAAGAAGGUUUUCGGAUCGUAAAGCUCUGUUGUAAGAGAAGAACGAGUGUGAGAGUGGAAAGUUCACACUGUGACGUAUCUACCAGAAAGGACG
Molecule: ribosomal RNA, 482 nt
Filed under: Streptococcus sp. oral taxon 071
Lineage: Bacteria; Bacillati; Bacillota; Bacilli; Lactobacillales; Streptococcaceae
Description: bacterial SSU rRNA
Rfam family: Bacterial small subunit ribosomal RNA
Source: RNAcentral